Molecule: ribosomal RNA, 301 nt
Filed under: uncultured bacterium
Lineage: Bacteria
Description: partial 16S ribosomal RNA
Rfam family: Bacterial small subunit ribosomal RNA
Source: RNAcentral
CAGUCGCCGCGGUAAUACGUAGGUGGCAAGCGUUGUCCGGAAUUACUGGGCGUAAAGGGCUCGCAGGCGGUUUCUUAAGUCUGACGUGAAAGCCCCCGGCUCAACCGGGGAGGGUCAUUGGAAACUGGGAAACUUGAGUGCAGGAGAGGAGAGUGGAAUUCCACGUGUAGCGGUGAAAUGCGUAGAGAUGUGGAGGAACACCAGUGGCGAAGGCGACUCUCUGGUCUGUAACUGACGCUGAGGAGCGAAAGCGUGGGGAGCGAACAGGAUUAGAUACCCGGGUAGUCCCUGUCUCUUAUAA